This 393-nucleotide ribosomal RNA is filed under the name uncultured bacterium. Its description in RNAcentral is "partial 16S ribosomal RNA". It matches the Rfam family "Bacterial small subunit ribosomal RNA", at positions 523 to 918 of the family's 1533-position model. The record is from RNAcentral.
AUACGGAGGAUCCGAGCGUUAUCCGGAUCUAUUGGGUUUAAAGGGUGCGCAGGCGGGAGAUUAAGUCGGCGGUGAAAUUUUGCAGCUCAACUGUAAAAGUGCCUUCGAAACUGGUUUCCUUGAGUGGAGAUGAAGUAGGCGGAAUUUGUGGUGUAGCGGUGAAAUGCAUAGAUAUCACGAGGAACUCCGAUUGCGCAGGCAGCUUACUAAACUACUACUGACGCUCAGGCACGAAGGCGUGGGGAUCAAACAGGAUUAGAUACCCUGGUAGUCCACGCAGUAAACGAUGAUUACUAGCUGUUUGCGAUACAAUGUAAGCGGCUGAGCGAAAGCGUUAAGUAAUCCACCUGGGGAGUACGUUCGCAAGAAUGAAACUCAAAUGAAUUGGCGGGG